RNAcentral lists this unclassified non-coding RNA (210 nucleotides) under air metagenome. RNAcentral describes it as "partial contains small subunit ribosomal RNA, internal transcribed spacer 1, and 5.8S ribosomal RNA". The stretch from base 1 to 46 matches the Rfam family "Eukaryotic small subunit ribosomal RNA", at positions 1786 to 1831 of the family's 1831-position model. The record is from RNAcentral.
AAGUCAUAACAAGGUUUCUGUAGGUGAACCUGCAGAAGGAUCAUUAGUGAAUGUUGGUCGCGGAUUCGUCCCGACCCUUUUUAUCUAUUGACACACCUGUGCACCGGUGGCGGCUUUCGGGCCCUGCCAACUUAUUAUAAAACACAUAAAGUCUUGAAAGUAAAAUUAUCAUAAUAAAGAUAACUUUUGACAACGGAUCUCUUGGUUCUC